Non-coding RNA from Gossypium raimondii (Peruvian cotton), 251 nucleotides. Lineage: Eukaryota; Viridiplantae; Streptophyta; Magnoliopsida; Malvales; Malvaceae. The record is from Rfam.
AUUGAGCAUAAAUCCAAUGCCCCAAAACCCAAGGGUUCCUCCGUAAGGUUCGUCACAGAGGGUGAGUCAGGGCCUAAGAUCAGGCUGAAAGGCGUAGUCGAUGGACAACAUAUGAAUAUUCUUGUACUACCCCUUGUUGUUCCCAAGGGACAGAGGAGGCUAGGUUAGUCGAAAGAUGGUUAUCGAUUCAAGGAUGCAAGGUGCCCCUGCUUUGUCAGGGUAAGAAGGGGUAGAGAAAAUGCCCCAAGGGC